UUUUUGAAACUCUACUAUUCUGCUGUUCCACAAAUACGAAGUCUAAUAGAUUUUAUAGCAGGUAGAAAAAAAAAAAAUGUAAAAAAAAAUGUGAAAUAAAAUAAAAUAAAAAUAAAUAAAUAAUUACAUAAAAAUGGAUAAAACAUACGAGUAAAAAAANNNNNNNNNNAAAAAAACAUAACACCAACAACUCUAGUAGUAACAAUUGUAGUAGUAAAAAUUGUAGUAAUGACAAUUUUGACAGUGGUAGUGACAGUAGUAGAAACAGUGGUAGAGAUAGUGGUAGUGACAGUGGUAGAGACAGUGGUAGUGACAGUGGUAGAGACAUGGGUAGUGAUAUCGGUAGUGAUAUCGGUAGUGAUAUCGGUAGUGGUAGCGAUAGUAAUAAUAAUACAAAACUUAAAUGUGAAAAUUCACAUGGUAAAAAAUACAUAAAUGAAAAAAAUAACCUUUUAAAAUCAAAAAAUAUACACAAUUUAAAUAAAAACUACACACACAUUUUUUCACUAAAUAAGAAUAAUUAUUAUAUAAAAAAAGGACGUGUAAACACAAGUAAAAAAAAUGAUUAUAAUAAAAAGGUAACAAAAAAAAAAUUGACUUAAUAAAAUCUUUAAAAUGCGAUAAAAGAACAAAACAAAAAUCUACUAAUCAAGAUACCGAUAUAGAUAUAAAUAAAACAAACAAAAAAAAAUGUUUAUGUAGUAACAUUACUAAAAAUAAUAUAAUAAAUUUUAAUCGUGCACAUGAAUGGUCCAAUAUUAAUACAUAUAAUACUAAAAAUAAAUUAACAGUUAAAAAAAAUAUAAAAGAAUUAAAACCAACUAAUAGUAUAAAUACUACCGCUUUACAUACUAUAGGUAUUGCUGAACAUACUUUACUUUAUUUCUCUUCUAACAAAAUUAAUUAUAAAAAAAAAAAGAAUUUUGUUUUUGAUAAUUACACAGAUUGUGAUUCAAAGUACUAUAACGAUUUUUAUGAAAAAGGAAGUAAAACUCUUUUUAAAAGUAGCAGUGUUUAUUCUGUGCGUAGCAAACUUGACAGUGAUAUGGGUAGUGACAGUGAUAUGGGUAGUGACAGUGACAGUGGUAGUGACAGUGACAGUGGUAGUGAUAGUGACAGUGGUAGUGACAACGUACUAGCAUCUUCCCGUUCAAAUGCUACUACAUCUACUACUCAUAUACCAACUACUAUUGCAUCUACUAUUUCUACUGAAGUACCCAGUUUAACAGACUUAACUACAACAAAUGGAGAUGUAACGGACGAAAUAAACGAAGGCGUACAAAACGAAGGUGCACAAAACGAAGGUGCACAAAACGAAGGUGCACNNNNNNNNNNGGUGCACAAAACGAAGGUGCACAAAACGAAGGUGCACAAAACGAAGGCGUACAAAACGAAGGCGUACAAAACGAAAGAUAUGUCAUACUUACGGGGAUAAAUGUAAAACAAAACAGUACAAAACUGUUCCAAAACAAAUUGGAUAAAAACAGAUUGGAUAAAAAAAAAUUGAACAAAAAAAUAAUGAAAAAAAAAAAAAUAAACAAAGCAGGAGUGAACA
Molecule: long non-coding RNA, 1555 nt
Organism: Piliocolobus tephrosceles (Ugandan red Colobus)
Lineage: Eukaryota; Metazoa; Chordata; Mammalia; Primates; Cercopithecidae
Source: Ensembl